CGGGACGUGGCGCAGGGGUAGCGCGCCUGCUCGGGGAGCAGGAGGCCGCACGUUCGAAUCGUGCCGUUCCGA
Molecule: transfer RNA, 72 nt
Filed under: Thermocatellispora tengchongensis
Lineage: Bacteria; Bacillati; Actinomycetota; Actinomycetes; Streptosporangiales; Streptosporangiaceae
Description: Streptosporangiaceae bacterium YIM 77521 tRNA
Rfam family: tRNA
About the family: Transfer RNA (tRNA) molecules are approximately 80 nucleotides in length. Their secondary structure includes four short double-helical elements and three loops (D, anti-codon, and T loops).
Source: Rfam by way of RNAcentral